GCUCCCAUCGUCUAGCGGUCAGGACGCCGCCCUCUCAAGGCGGAAACCGGGGUUCAAUUCCCCGUGGGAGCG
Molecule: transfer RNA, 72 nt
Filed under: Alkalispirillum mobile
Lineage: Bacteria; Pseudomonadati; Pseudomonadota; Gammaproteobacteria; Chromatiales; Ectothiorhodospiraceae
Also listed under: 1 other name
Description: tRNA-Glu
Rfam family: tRNA
About the family: Transfer RNA (tRNA) molecules are approximately 80 nucleotides in length.
Source: RNAcentral